GCAGGAUUACAAUGAGUGGCAACAGCUGGAGUCGUUAACGCUUCAAUGGAAUGGAAGUAAAAUUCAUUGUAAAGUCACUGCGGACGCGGACUCCUUUCGCCGUGAUUUUCAUAAUUCAAAUUGACCGUAUCCUGGCGAAGGAUGGUAUAAGGGCCGGGGUCAUAAUGAAAUUCACUUUGUUUUCGCUGGGGCAACCCGAGCUUUUUUUUUUGCUUUUUUCCUGCUGGGCUCGUCCUUCCUCUUUCUUGGCUGCUCUCUCGUGAAGUGAAAAUGCCAUUCAAGCAGAAUAAUGCAAUAUAAACUGUUGCAGCUUGAGCGGAGCUACUCAACCGAUGAGGGCGCUCUGUGGGUUGAGAACUGGGAACUGGGAACUGCGGACUGGGAACCCGUUGACAAUCGACAAAAGACAGCCGACCAAGGAGGACAUUCUCACUUGUGUGUGCUCGAAGGCGUCUGGUAAAACAUGAAACCACAAAAGAGCUGGCUGGCUGGCUGACUGGCUGGAUGGCUGGCCCAAGGAAUCGUUCAUGUCAAUUAUUCCAGUUAAGUGAGCAGCAAACCAAAGCUUUGGCAAUUUUUUGAGUGCAUUUCAGAUACAAAAAAUUACAAUAUGAAACCCAAUACGCUGGGCGUAAUUCAAGUUGUGAGAAACUUAGCCCCGACUUGCAUGAAUUGCUCAAGAUCUCUGGCAGCGACAUAAUAAAGCAAUAAACUGCUUGCAGGAUAACAAACACAAGCAGCAAGAUACCCAAACAUCGGCUCCCCGUAUAUGUGCAACGUAUGUAGGAUAGGCAGAUGCUCCGACGAUCUCGAAUUUCACAUGCAAUCAAUGACAAAUUUAUGACUCCACAACAGCGGGCUCUUCAAAAUGCAUUCACAUCGGGAUGUUCAGGGACACUAGUCCAGCAGUUCCAUCUCCAUCUUAUUUUUCGCGUGCUCAUAUUUCUGUCAAUUUGCUGCAACGCCCCCGCCUCCACGCCAAAUUGAGUUAUAGCCCGAAUGCGAGCAUUAUCCUGACAGCUGUCCUAGCCCGACAUUUAAGUAUCUAUUUCACGCAUUUGCCAAAGAUCAAGUGCAAGUGCUCGAAGGAUCCACUUCAAUUGGAUUUACCUCAGCGGAGUGGGACUCUCCUCGUGGAAUUUCCGCUGCAUUGGGACUCCCCUUCGAAGGAACGCAAUCAGCCAGGAUCUAAGUGGAAAUGCAUUUUCACAAUAUCGUACAUGCAUAUAAUGAAAACAAGGCAGCAGGAAAGCAAAGCUGAAUUAAAAUAUGCAACAGCAGCAAAAAUAAUAAUGCCACCUGAAGGGUCCUAAGAGUGUGGAGUGUGCUAAGAGCUGAAUACAAGUAGCCAAAUAGCUUGAGACGCUAACAAAGUUUUUGCCCCUGCCACCGCUGAUAAACCCGCCCGAUAAGCGACACGCGACCACAAGAGGGUCCAGCCGGAGGGCCAGGCUAAAACCCAGGAACUUCGGAUCCCUGGCCAAGAGCGGGAACAGGAACCGGUACAGGUACAGUUUGUUUUGGGCCCGCAAAUUGGUUUGGCUUCUGCCACCGAGUGGGGGGCUUUUGGCUCAGUCUGGGCUGGAGGAUGGUGAUGGGGCAGGUGCCCCACCCACCAACUGGCGCUGGGCUGUCACACGGAAUGCUGCAACAUGGCCCACCGAGACACGAAUCAAGAAGGAAUACCAGUGCACAGAGACAAAACAUUUAAAGCUGGAAAGCAGUUUGUAAAAGUAUGUGGAAAGUAUAAAAGAUUUCACUCAGUUUGUUCUUGGCUAAUCAGUGGGUAAUCAAGCGCGCUCUUCUAUGAAUUUUGAAAAUAUAUUUAAUUCAACCGAAUGCAUUUCCUCGGAUCUUAGUAUUGCUGAAAAGUUAUUUUUCGAGUGUAUUUGAAAGACAACGACCAACACAAUAUUCUCGCCCCGGCUAUGUCUGCAGUUCCGUUUUGUGUACCGAUGUCAGCGACUGCUAACCCCACCGACGACCCAACCCAACACGGCGGGUCUUAUAUUAAUUGUCACGCAUAUGUCUAACCUCUGACAACAACAACAACAAGAGCCACAACCGCAGGAACAACACCGACCUGGGCCCAGAAAAACCACAGACGAGGUUCGCCGCCGCGCAUAUUUUUGGGUCUAUUGAAAAGCCAAAACCACAAGAAUGUUACCAAAAGUGUUGCCCAGCCAAAUAAAACUACUGUUGUUUUUAAUGCUCUUAUUGAAGGGGUAUAUAAGCGAUAAUGAACUUAAUUGAUCUUGUAGCAUCUGUACACAGCCCACUAUUUAACUACAUCCCCUCUUAAAUAUCUCGUAUAAGCCAUGCUCAUAAACAUCAAAACUAUAUAGUUCAAAUCAAAGAUACUAGCCAUACCCUUAAGGCUCUUCCGGUAGAGUAAAAUAUAUUCGUCGUACUUGUAUGAUCAA
This is a long non-coding RNA of Drosophila simulans, 2423 nucleotides long. RefSeq lists it as uncharacterized. NCBI's taxonomy places the organism in Eukaryota, Metazoa, Arthropoda, Insecta, Diptera, Drosophilidae. The record is from RefSeq and is a predicted model, not a curated record. The transcript has 2 exons.